AAGUGAGAAUGCCGGUGUGAGUAGCGAAAGACGGGUGAGAAUCCCGUCCACCGAUUGACUAAGGUUUCCAGAGGAAGGCUCGUCCGCUCUGGGUUAGUCGGGUCCUAAGCUGAGGCCGACAGGCGUAGGCGAUGGAUAACAGGUUGAUAUUCCUGUACCACCUAUAAUCGUUUUAAUCGAUGGGGGGACGCAGUAGGAUAGGCGAAGCGUGCGAUUGGAUUGCACGUCUAAGCAGUAAGGCUGAGUAUUAGGCAAAUCCGGUACUCGUUAAGGCUGAGCUGUGAUGGGGAGAAGACAUUGUGUCUUCGAGUCGUUGAUUUCACACUGCCGAGAAAAGCCUCUAGAUAGAAAAUAGGUGCCCGUACCGCAAACCGACACAGGUAGUCAAGAUGAGAAUUCUAAGGUGAGCGAGCGAACUCUCGUUAAGGAACUCGGCAAAAUGACCCCGUAACUUCGGGAGAAGGGGUGCUCUUUAGGGUUAACGCCCAGAAGAGCCGCAGUGAAUAGGCCCAAGCGACUGUUUAUCAAAAACACAGGUCUCUGCUAAACCGUAAGGUGAUGUAUAGGGGCUGACGCCUGCCCGGUGCUGGAAG
Molecule: ribosomal RNA, 593 nt
Filed under: Staphylococcus aureus
Lineage: Bacteria; Bacillati; Bacillota; Bacilli; Caryophanales; Staphylococcaceae
Description: partial 23S ribosomal RNA
Rfam family: Bacterial large subunit ribosomal RNA
Source: RNAcentral